Molecule: ribosomal RNA, 329 nt
Filed under: uncultured eukaryote
Lineage: Eukaryota
Description: partial 18S ribosomal RNA
Rfam family: Eukaryotic small subunit ribosomal RNA
Source: RNAcentral
CCCUUAGAUGUUCUGGGCCGCACGCGCGCUACACUGACACGUUCAUCAAGUCUAUAACCUUGACCGAGAGGUCUGGGUAAUCUUUUAAAAACGUGUCGUGCUGGGGAUAGAUUAUUGCAAUUAUUAAUCUUCAACGAGGAAUUCCUAGUAAACGCAAGUCAUCAACUUGCAUUGAUUACGUCCCUGCCCUUUGUACACACUACCCGUCGCUACUACCGAUUGAAUGAUUUAGUGAGUACCAGGGACCGAGCGCUUUGGUUGGGUUUCCUUCCCUAGCGCUUGGGAACUGUCGCAAACUUGACCAUUUAGAGGAAGUAAAAGUCGUAACA